CCUACGGGUGGCUGCAGUGGGGAAUAUUGGACAAUGGGGGCAACCCUGAUCCAGCCAUGCCGCGUGUGUGAAGAAGGCCCUCGGGUUGUAAAGCACUUUCAGUGAGGAAGAACGCCUGGUGGUUAAUACCCAUCAGGAAAGACAUCACUCACAGAAGAAGCACCGGCUAACUCCGUGCCAGCAGCCGCGGUAAUACGGAGGGUGCGAGCGUUAAUCGGAAUUACUGGGCGUAAAGCGCGCGUAGGUGGCUUGAUAAGCCGGUUGUGAAAGCCCCGGGCUCAACCUGGGAACGGCAUCCGGAACUGUCGAGCUAGAGUGCAGGAGAGGAAGGUAGAAUUCCCGGUGUAGCGGUGAAAUGCGUAGAGAUCGGGAGGAAUACCAGUGGCGAAGGCGGCCUUCUGGACUGACACUGACACUGAGGUGCGAAAGCGUGGGUAGCAAACAGGAUUAGAUACCCCAGUAGUC
Molecule: ribosomal RNA, 465 nt
Filed under: Vreelandella stevensii
Lineage: Bacteria; Pseudomonadati; Pseudomonadota; Gammaproteobacteria; Oceanospirillales; Halomonadaceae
Description: partial 16S ribosomal RNA
Rfam family: Bacterial small subunit ribosomal RNA
Source: RNAcentral